RNAcentral lists this ribosomal RNA (375 nucleotides) under uncultured bacterium. RNAcentral's name for it is "bacterial SSU rRNA". It matches the Rfam family "Bacterial small subunit ribosomal RNA", at positions 28 to 404 of the family's 1533-position model. The record is from RNAcentral.
GACGAACGCUGGCGGCGUCCUUAACACAUGCAAGUCGAGCGGUAAGGCCCUUUCGGGGGUACACGAGCGGCGAACGGGUGAGUAACACGUGGGUGACCUGCCCUCAGCUCUGGGAUAAGCCCGGGAAACUGGGUCUAAUACCGGAUAUGACUCCACGGUGCAUGUCGUGGGGUGGAAAGCCUUGUGCGGCUAAGGAUGGGCCCGCGGCCUAUCAGCUUGUUGGUGGGGUGAUGGCCUACCAAGGCGACGACGGGUAGCCGGCCUGAGAGGGCGACCGGCCACACUGGGACUGAGACACGGCCCAGACUCCUACGGGAGGCAGCAGUGGGGAAUCUUGCGCAAUGGGCGAAAGCCUGACGCAGCGACGCCGCGUGA